Molecule: long non-coding RNA, 1045 nt
Filed under: Salvia miltiorrhiza (redroot sage)
Lineage: Eukaryota; Viridiplantae; Streptophyta; Magnoliopsida; Lamiales; Lamiaceae
Description: long non-coding RNA (SMIL_LNC001426)
Source: RNAcentral
AUGAAUUGGGGUGAUUUUUUUUUUAUUAUAAUAUCUAAUAAUAAUUCGAAAAAAGACAACUGAGUAUGAAUUGGGGUAAAUUUUUUUAUUGUACCCUUACAUGCAUAGGUGCCAACCUAUUUAUUGAUAUUCACAUAUGAUUCUCAUAUUAGUUACUGAGACAAAUAAGAAAAGAAGAUCUAAGCUCUCAUUUAUCCCUUGAUCAAAAUUCCAAUAAUGUCUCAUAACUUCAACAAACACUGUGUUCAGCAAGCUGAUACGCAUGCCAUGAAAGUUUCAUUUCAUUACAAGCAAUACUAUACCAAAUUUAGAAAGUGAGGCAGGUGAAACAAAUAUAUAGAUGCGAUACAAAACACCUUAAGUUUCAUUAGAGUGUUGUGAAAGAAGAAACAAUAAAAAAUAUUGAUGUUUAGAAUACAAAAGACCAUACAUAAAUUUAACUUAACUGUAAGACAGACAUAUUAUAUAUAUGCGCGACUAUUUCACCAUCAUCGCUGGUAUGUAGUUGGCUAAUGCGGUAACUCUUUACUUGUGAAACCACUUGAAUUGAACAGAAAUAUACAUGUAAAUCUAUAUUAAGAAAAAUUGCAGCAAACUUACUUCCUGCUUUACACUGGCACAAGAAGAGCAAUUUAAAUUAUCAUCAGCCUCCUUCAUGUUUCACUUUAAUUUGGUCGAUAAUAUAGAAGUCAAAGUUUUUACGGAGCAUGUCACUCGAAAUUGACUUAUUAGAUUGGAGAUCAGUCAACACUUUAUAACUCAAUAAGUUGUAUUCCAAAUUACAGCAAUCUAGACCCAAAUCUUAGAUAUAUGCUAUAAAAGCUUGUCUAUACCUUAAUAGGACUUAUAUAAAAACAACAUUACAAGAUAGGCCAUUGGCAUCAAACAUCAUUUGCAGCAAAGAAAUUUGAGUGCUCGACCACCCAAAUUCACUACAGAAAAUGUAUAUAACAACAUAACCUACUCUUAAAUAUGAAAAAAAUAAUCGUCGAAAUAUGAAAAACAAUAUUAAUACCAAAAAAAAUCGUGCCAUGGGUUGUUUAAA